This 387-nucleotide ribosomal RNA is filed under the name Escherichia coli. RNAcentral describes it as "partial 23S ribosomal RNA". It matches the Rfam family "Bacterial large subunit ribosomal RNA", at positions 1 to 418 of the family's 2925-position model. Lineage: Bacteria; Pseudomonadati; Pseudomonadota; Gammaproteobacteria; Enterobacterales; Enterobacteriaceae. The record is from RNAcentral.
GGGUUGUGAGGUUAAGCGACUAAGCGUACACGGUGGAUGCCCUGGCAGUCAGAGGCGAUGAAGGACGUGCUAAUCUGCGAUAAGCGUCGGUGAGGUGAUAUGAACCGUUAUAACCGGCGAUUUCCGAAUGGGGAAACCCAGUGUGUUUCGACACACUAUCAUUAACUGAAUCCAUAGGUUAAUGAGGCGAACCGGGGGAACUGAGACAUCUAAGUACCCCGAGGAAAAGAAAUCAACCGAGAUUCCCCCAGUAGCGGCGAGCGAACGGGGAGGAGCCCAGAGCCUGAAUCAGUGUGUGUGUUAGUGGAAGCGUCUGGAAAGGCGCGCGAUACAGGGUGACAGCCCCGUACACAAAAAUGCACAUAUUGUGAGCUCGAUGAGUAGGGC